UACGGAGGGUGCGAGCGUUGUCCGGAAUCAUUGGGCGUAAAGCGUGCGUAGGUGGUGAGUUAAGUCUGUCGUGAAAGCCCCGGGCUCAACCUGGGAAUGGCGAUGGAUACUGGCGUGCUUGAGGACUGGAGAGGAGACUGGAAUUCAUGGUGUAGCAGUGAAAUGCGUAGAGAUCAUGAGGAAGACCAGUGGCGAAGGCGGGUCUCUGGACAGUUCCUGACACUGAGACACGAAGGCCAGGGGAGCAAACGGG
RNAcentral lists this ribosomal RNA (253 nucleotides) under uncultured bacterium. RNAcentral's name for it is "partial 16S ribosomal RNA". It matches the Rfam family "Bacterial small subunit ribosomal RNA", at positions 524 to 776 of the family's 1533-position model. The record is from RNAcentral.